Molecule: long non-coding RNA, 989 nt
Organism: Neofelis nebulosa (Clouded leopard)
Lineage: Eukaryota; Metazoa; Chordata; Mammalia; Carnivora; Felidae
Exons: 2
Source: RefSeq, a predicted model, not a curated record
GCUCACUGGACAAAGUGUUUCACAUGAAUUAUCUUCUCAUUCUCUUACCAACUUGAAGAGGCAGGCGCCCCUAUUAUCCCUUUUUUAUUCUAUGAAGAAACUGCAGCUGAGAGAGGUUAUGUAACUUACCUAAUUCAUACUAGAAACUCCAGACUUAAAUUUUAUGAUUACUCUCAGCAGGCUUUUUACAUAUAUCUAGAGAUCAAUUUUAGUUAUUGAAAAAGAUAAAAUAAAGCAAAAAAGAUGUCUCGACCUAAAGGAGCUGCUUUUAGCCUGGCAGGGACCAGAAAGUGAGCAUUAGGAUCCAGAGCAGUGUCGUCAGUGCUUGUGAGGAGGGGUCAGGGGCUUACAUGGGAGGAACUGGGCUCCUGCAAGGUCCUCAGCAGCACUCCCUCAGCCAGGGCCCGGUCCACAGCCUGCCGUGCCAGCUCCUCCAGCUGCUGCUCAUCCUGCAAGAGGCUCCCCCAGCCGGUGGCCAUCCCAACCUGCAACAGGAGAGGGGAAUGAUUGGUGAUGGGUUGCCUGGGGCCCACCCAGCAACCAAUGAAACUGGCAGUGUGGUACAGGGGAGUGAACACUGGGUGGCAGCUCUCAACUUCCAUGAGUGCAAAAUGGAAAGCCUGACAAAGCAUUUCCACUGCCACUCUCUUGGUUCCUAAUACAAUGAUGGCAUUAUUCUUACAGUAAGGAAGUGGAAUCUCAGACUGGUAAAACCUGGAUUUGAACCCAGGUCUCAGGACUCCCAGCCCAGGCCUUUUACACUGGAGAAAGAGGCACUAAUGUCAUAUGUGAUUGGGGCAAGUUCCUUCCCCUCAGAGUUGCAGAUUCUCUACCUGUGAAACAAGGGGUAUGAGGUAGACCAGUGGUUUCCAAAUCUGGCUAAAUAUUCUGGGGAGCCUGGUAAAGAAUACGGAUUCCAGGGCUCCACUCAGAGAUUCUCAUGCAAGAGGUCUGAUGAGUGGAGGGAAGGGCUGAAGCUCUGUAUUUUU